GACGAACGCUGGCGGCGUGCUUAACACAUGCAAGUCGAACGGAAAGGCCCUGCUUUUGUGGGGUGCUCGAGUGGCGAACGGGUGAGUAACACGUGAGUAACCUGCCCUUGACUUUGGGAUAACUUCAGGAAACUGGGGCUAAUACCGGAUAGGAGCUCCUGCUGCAUGGUGGGGGUUGGAAAGUUUCGGCGGUUGGGGAUGGACUCGCGGCUUAUCAGCUAGUUGGUGGGGUAGUGGCUUACCAAGGCUUUGACGGGUAGCCGGCCUUAGAGGGUGACCGGCCACAUUGGGACUGAGAUACGGCCCAGACUCCUACGGGAGGCAGCAGUGGGGAAUAUUGCACAAUGGGCGGAAGCCUGAUGCAGCAACGCCGCGUGCGGGAUGACGGCCUUCGGGUUGUAAACCGCUUUCGCCUGUGACGAAGCGUGAGUGACGGUAAUGGGCAAAGAAGCACCGGCUAACUACGUG
Molecule: ribosomal RNA, 468 nt
Filed under: uncultured bacterium
Lineage: Bacteria
Description: partial 16S ribosomal RNA
Rfam family: Bacterial small subunit ribosomal RNA
Source: RNAcentral